Molecule: long non-coding RNA, 668 nt
Filed under: Olea europaea subsp. europaea
Lineage: Eukaryota; Viridiplantae; Streptophyta; Magnoliopsida; Lamiales; Oleaceae
Source: RNAcentral
GUUUUCUGUCUGUUCUAAUCGCUUUGUCUCUCUUCUCCAUCGUCUUCCUUAAUAAUGCCUGAUAUUUUGUACCCUUUACUAGAACUUUUGGCCUUGAUUGUGAUGUUUUUGUUGAUUCAAGGUCCGCAAAAAUGGUGGGAUAGAUAUGCAGAAUCAUCACAAUAUGAGCUGCCAGUUGUAAACCGUCAACCACCAGCAGCUCCACAGCGCGCACCACCGCCGCCACUGUCAUCACCAACUUCAACUCAAUCCCAGAUGAAGGAAGGGAAGAAGGAUGAAAUUGUCAUCGAUAUCUAUAUCGAACGAGAAGGUGGGGAUCGUGAAUGCUCUAUUUGUCUAUCUGAAUUCAAAGGCCAGGAAUUGUUCCGGUGUCUUCCGGCAUGCAACCAUGGAUUUCACUUUGAAUGCAUCAAAAUAUGGUUGGAUAUCAGUCAAACCUGCCCAUUGUGCCGCCGGAGUACUGUCAUUGAACCAUGAUUCUUGCUUUUCUUGUAUUACAAAUCUAGAACUUUUUCUUUUGAUUUUAAUCCUACAAAGACAUUUUUUUGUAAUUGAAUAAGAUGUUUAGUUUCUGAAAUUACUGAGAAUAAGAGAUACUUCACCGAACAAAUGUUGACAAGGAAUAAAGUGUGAUAAGAGUAGUUAUGAAUGAAGAUACAUCAAUAAGG